Molecule: ribosomal RNA, 524 nt
Filed under: Rhipiceridae sp. UPOL 001322
Lineage: Eukaryota; Metazoa; Arthropoda; Insecta; Coleoptera; Rhipiceridae
Description: partial 16S ribosomal RNA
Rfam family: Archaeal large subunit ribosomal RNA (bases 388-524)
Source: RNAcentral
CAUGUCUUUUAGAUUUUUAUUAAAGGUUGAUCCUGCUCAAUGAUAAGUGUUAAAUAGCUGCAGUAUUUUGACUGUACAAAGGUAGCAUAAUAAUUAGUUUUUUAAAUGGGAGCUAGAAUGAAGGGUUGGACGAAAACAUUACUUUAUUUUAUUUAUUUAGUGAAUUUUAUUUUUAAGUGAAAAAGCUUAAAUUAUUUUAAAAGACGAGAAGACCCUAUAGAAUUUUAUUAGUUAAUAUUAAUUUUUUUUAUUGAAUAAAUAUUUAUUAAAUAAGAUUAAUUUUAUUGGGGUAAUAGGAAGAUUUAAUUAAUUCUUUAUAUUUUUAUUCAUUAAUAUAUGUUUUUUUUGAUUUAAACUUAUUUUAUUUAUAGAUUAAAUUACCUUAGGGAUAACAGCAUAAUUUUUUUUUAAAGUUCUUAUUGAAAAAAAAGUUUAUGACCUCGAUGUUGGAUUAAAAUUAAAAUUUAACGAAGUAGUUAAAUUUUUAAGUCUGUUCGUCUUUUAAAAUUUUGCAUGAUCUGAGU